GCAAUGACAAGGAUGCAACUCACACCUGGUGUGCGCGGUUUCCCUACCAACUUUUGUCUCUUGCUUCGAUCUCCUUACCCUACACUCCGGGCUUAAGCAGUCCCCAUCACAGGCAACUUCCCUUUUCUUCUGGACAAAGCACUAUAUAAUAGCUAUCGCCACAAUCAAAUGCCUCUUCUAUCGAUCGCAGCAGCGUGGUUACGGAGAGCGAACCGGCAAAUCGACAGCCAAAUCCCCUUAUCUUUUCCAUCGGAUGUUUGAUUCCUGCAUGGCGAAUGGGACAGGUUAUCCUUAAGUGUGCUGCAUCCAAACCAACCCUUCCCCGCCCGACCAUUUAUCACAGGAUGCAUAUGCUAAAUUAAGAGAGCAUAGCUCAUUUUCUCUCUGACCAUACGGCAGGCAUACUGUUGAAUCUGUCCUCCUAAAAUUCCCGGUGAGACCCCGCCAUAUGGUAUACCAUCUUCUCCUUCUCCUGUUGAGCUCGGAAUAUUCCGAAGAAGUUUAGUCAUGCAAUAUUGUGCUUUAGGAUUUACGGAUAAAUGACCAACGAACGGUGUUGGCCUUUUUUCCUUUUAGGUUCCAAAUCAUAAAGCACAACCCUCGCAUGCUAAGGCAAGAUUGGAUGACGGGUACAGCAAAGAAAGCGUAUAUCUUGCACAUAUGACAUAGUUGACAGACGUCAAAAAGCUAUUGCUUGUACAUCUGUACCUGUGGCGGCUCGAUCAAGCUUUAGAAUAGUUGAUAGAAGUAGUUGUUUGUGAAAAAAAUGAUUCCUGGAAAGUUAACAUAACGACAUAUCUGUAAGUUCAUGAACAAAGCAUCUAGGCAGGCAGGCAUAUAUAUAUGGAUGGGCCGGAGGAUCGAAAAUGAAAUUUAAAAGAAAAGUGCAGGCAAAAGAAUGGAAGAGAAAGCAAGAGCGUAAGAAAAUGCCAUUGAGUAAAUAAGGCCAGAAAUAUUUCGGGCUAUUCGGCGCACCUCUAUCACAUUGCACCCCAGGCCUCACCGAAUAACCUUGAUGCUAGAAUUUUUUGUUGAAUAAUGGGUUUCUUUCAAGAUAGGUUAUGCCAUGGAACCACGGAUGGCAUUCAUCUCGCC
RNAcentral lists this small RNA (1095 nucleotides) under Histoplasma capsulatum. RNAcentral's name for it is "hypothetical RNA". RNAcentral also lists the same sequence under 1 other name. Lineage: Eukaryota; Fungi; Ascomycota; Eurotiomycetes; Onygenales; Ajellomycetaceae. The record is from RNAcentral.